GUUGGACGAGGCUGUUGCCAUCCCAUCUCAGUCACAGGAGGAUGCAGUGGUGACAUUCACUACCGUGACCCACAAGGAUGAAACUUCCCAGACCAGCCUCACCCUCAGCAGGGGAAAGAGAAGCUACCCAGACCUACACACCUUUGUGCAGGACAUGAAGGACGACCAUUGGAAUCUGCUGAGUGAGAAUAUGCGUGCCGGGAUGAGCAGACAUGAGUUUAGUGCCAAGUGCAUGGAUAUUGUAGCAUGGGUGAUGGAGUCUACAUCCACUGUGGUUGUUCCCGCCCUUGACCUCACCAUGCAGAUAGAGCUCUCUGAUUCGCCAAGCUCUUCUGGAUCAGGA
This is a long non-coding RNA of Coregonus clupeaformis (lake whitefish), 343 nucleotides long. RefSeq lists it as uncharacterized. The record is from RefSeq and is a predicted model, not a curated record. The transcript is spliced from 4 exons. NCBI's taxonomy places the organism in Eukaryota, Metazoa, Chordata, Actinopteri, Salmoniformes, Salmonidae.